GGGCAUUGGCAUUAUCUAUGAUUCUGAUGUUGCUCCAUAUAAUAGAAGAAACAUUUGAGUAAAACAUAUGAAUCCAGCCUUUUCUAUUUAAUAGUUUACUAAUGUUGAGGGUGUUCUUGAGGGUUAGCCAAAAUAAAAAAGACUUUACAUUUGGUUAGAGCAGAAGAUUCCAAAUUGGGGGUGCCAUUAGACAGGUAAUAUCUCCCCUAGUC
Molecule: long non-coding RNA, 212 nt
Filed under: Elaeis guineensis (African oil palm)
Lineage: Eukaryota; Viridiplantae; Streptophyta; Magnoliopsida; Arecales; Arecaceae
Description: long non-coding RNA (EGUI_LNC030599)
Source: RNAcentral